CAUGCAAGUCGAGCGGAAACGAUGAUAGCUUGCUAUCAGGCGUCGAGCGGCGGACGGGUGAGUAAUACUUAGGAAUCUACCUAGUAGUGGGGGAUAGCACGGGGAAACUCGUAUUAAUACCGCAUACGACCUACGGGAGAAAGGGGGCAGUUUACUGCUCUCGCUAUUAGAUGAGCCUAAGUCGGAUUAGCUAGAUGGUGGGGUAAAGGCCUACCAUGGCGACGAUCUGUAGCUGGUCUGAGAGGAUGAUCAGCCACACCGGGACUGAGACACGGCCCGGACUCCUACGGGAGGCAGCAGUGGGGAAUAUUGGACAAUGGGGGAAACCCUGAUCCAGCCAUGCCGCGUGUGUGAAGAAGGCCUUUUGGUUGUAAAGCACUUUAAGCAGUGAAGAAGACUCUUCGGUUAAUACCCGGAGACGAUGACAUUAGCUGCAGAAUAAGCACCGGCUAACUCUGUGCCAGCAGCCGCGGUAAUACAGAGGGUGCAAGCGUUAAUCGGAAUUACUGGGCGUAAAGGGAGCGUAGGUGGCUCGAUAAGUCAGAUGUGAAAUCCCCGGGCUCAACCUGGGAACUGCAUCUGAUACUGUUGAGCUAGAGUAUGUGAGAGGAAGGUAGAAUUCCAGGUGUAGCGGUGAAAUGCGUAGAGAUCUGGAGGAAUACCGAUGGCGAAGGCAGCCUUCUGGCAUAAUACUGACACUGAGGCUCGAAAGCGUGGGUAGCAAACAGGAUUAGAUACCCUGGUAGUCCACGCCGUAAACGAUGUCUACUAGUCGUUGGGUCCCUUGAGGACUUAGUGACGCAGCUAACGCAAUAAGUAGACCGCCUGGGGAGUACGGCCGCAAGGUUAAAACUCAAAUGAAUUGACGGGGGCCCGCACAAGCGGUGGAGCAU
Molecule: ribosomal RNA, 893 nt
Filed under: Psychrobacter sp. BTN5
Lineage: Bacteria; Pseudomonadati; Pseudomonadota; Gammaproteobacteria; Moraxellales; Moraxellaceae
Description: bacterial SSU rRNA
Rfam family: Bacterial small subunit ribosomal RNA
Source: RNAcentral